RNAcentral lists this ribosomal RNA (252 nucleotides) under uncultured bacterium. RNAcentral describes it as "partial 16S ribosomal RNA". It matches the Rfam family "Bacterial small subunit ribosomal RNA", at positions 524 to 776 of the family's 1533-position model. The record is from RNAcentral.
UACGUAAGUUGCAAGCGUUAUCCGGAUUUAUUGGGCAUAAAGAGUGCGUAGGCGGUAUUUUAAGUCAGAUGUUAAAUUCCACAGCUCAACUGUGGCUUGCAUUUGAAACUGAUUUACUAGAGACUAGGAGAGGAAAGUGGAACUCACAGUGUAGCGGUGAAAUGCGUAGAUAUUGUGAGGAACACCAGUGGCGAAGGCGGCUUUCUGGACUAGAUCUGACGCUGAGGCACGAAAGCAUGGGGAGCGAACGGG